This 396-nucleotide ribosomal RNA is filed under the name Triticum aestivum (bread wheat). RNAcentral describes it as "partial small subunit ribosomal RNA". Lineage: Eukaryota; Viridiplantae; Streptophyta; Magnoliopsida; Poales; Poaceae. The record is from RNAcentral.
CUGAUGAACAAGCCUGGGAGGCUUGCGCUGGUGAAGUCUGUGCUGAGCGCCAUCCCCGUGCAUCAACUACUCGCCUAUGCGCCGCCUAAGAAGACGCUUCGUCAAAUUGAGAAGAUUGAGCGCGACUUCUUGUGGGCCGGCCGCGCUGCCGCCAAUGGAGGCCACUGCCAUGUCAACUGGCGCCGCGUUUGCCGCCCCAUAUCGUACGGAGGCCUGGGUGUCCAGGACCUGGAGCGCGCUGGCCUUGCUCUACGGCUACGAUGGCUAUGGUUCUCGCGCACUGACCAUGAGCGCGCCUGGAAUGGCCUCGACCUACAAUUCUCUGCCGAGGAGCGAGCGCUCUUCUUCGCGUCCACCACGAUGACCCUCGGAAACGGAACAACGGCAUAUUUCUGG